This 213-nucleotide ribosomal RNA is filed under the name uncultured bacterium. RNAcentral describes it as "partial 16S ribosomal RNA". It matches the Rfam family "Bacterial small subunit ribosomal RNA", at positions 1288 to 1500 of the family's 1533-position model. The record is from RNAcentral.
CCAGUUCGGAUUGCAGGCUGCAACCCGCCUGUAUGAAGUUGGAAUCGCUAGUAACCGCGGAUCAGCAUGCCGCGGUGAAUACGUUCCCGGGCCUUGUACACACCGCCCGUCACACCAUGAGAGUCGGGAACACCCGAAGUCCGUAGCCUAACCGCAAGGGGGGCGCGGCCGAAGGUGGGUUCGAUAAUUGGGGUGAAGUCGUAACAAGGUACC